AUUGAACGCUGGCGGAAUGCUUUACACAUGCAAGUCGAACGGCAGCACGGGGCAACCUGGUGGCGAGUGGCGAACGGGUGAGUAAUACAUCGGAACGUGCCCAAUCGUGGGGGAUAACGUAGCGAAAGUUACGCUAAUACCGCAUACGAUCUACGGAUGAAAGCGGGGGAUCGCAAGACCUCGCGCGAAUGGAGCGGCCGAUGUCAGAUUAGGUAGUUGGUGGGGUAAAGGCUCACCAAGCCAACGAUCUGUAGCUGGUCUGAGAGGACGACCAGCCACACUGGAACUGAGACACGGUCCAGACUCCUACGGGAGGCAGCAGUGGGGAAUUUUGGACAAUGGGCGCAAGCCUGAUCCAGCCAUUCCGCGUGCAGGAUGAAGGCCUUCGGGUUGUAAACCGUCUUUUCUGGGUAGAAGAGACAAGGACGGUAUCCCAGGAAUAAGUCUCGGCUAACUACGUAGCCAGCAGCCGCGGUAAU
This 479-nucleotide ribosomal RNA is filed under the name uncultured bacterium. RNAcentral describes it as "bacterial SSU rRNA". It matches the Rfam family "Bacterial small subunit ribosomal RNA", at positions 30 to 524 of the family's 1533-position model. The record is from RNAcentral.